GGGGAAUAUUGGACAAUGGAGGAGACUCUGAUCCAGCAAUUCUGUGUGCACGAAGACGGUUUUCGGAUUGUAAAGUGCUUUCAGCAGGGAAGAAGUAAGUGACGGUACCUGCAGAAGAAGCGACGGCUAAAUACGUGCCAGCAGCCGCGGUAAUACGUAUGUCGCAAGCGUUAUCCGGAAUUAUUGGGCAUAAAGGGCAUCUAGGCGGAUAUACAAGUCAGGGGUGAAAACUUAGGGCUCAACUCAAAGCUUGCCUUUGAAACUGUAUAUCUAGAGUGCUGGAGAGGUGGACGGAACUACACGAGUAGAGGUGAAAUUCGUAGAUAUGUGUAGGAAUGCCGAUGAUGAAGAUAGUCCACUGGACAGCAACUGACGCUGAAGUGCGAAAGCUAGGGGAGCAAACAGGAUUAGAUACCCUGGUAGUCCUAGCUGUAAACGAUGAUUACUGGGUGUGGGCAUGAAGAGUGUCUGUGCCGAAGCUAAUGCGAUAAGUAAUCCGCCUGGGGAGUACGACCGCAAGGUUG
Molecule: ribosomal RNA, 524 nt
Filed under: uncultured bacterium
Lineage: Bacteria
Description: bacterial SSU rRNA
Rfam family: Bacterial small subunit ribosomal RNA
Source: RNAcentral